Molecule: ribosomal RNA, 253 nt
Filed under: uncultured bacterium
Lineage: Bacteria
Description: partial 16S ribosomal RNA
Rfam family: Bacterial small subunit ribosomal RNA
Source: RNAcentral
UACGUAGGGGGCUAGCGUUGUCCGGAUUUAUUGGGCGUAAAGAGCGUGUAGGCGGCCAUGUAGGUCCGGUGUGAAAACUCGAGGCUUAACCUCGAGAUGUCAUCGGAAACCAUUUGGCUAGAGUCCGGAAGAGGAGAGUGGAAUUCCUGGUGUAGCGGCGAAAUGCGCAGAUAUCAGGAAGAACACCAAUGGCGAAAGCAGCUCUCUGGGACGGUACUGACGCUGAGACGCGAAAGCGUGGGGAGCGAGCCGG